Molecule: long non-coding RNA, 440 nt
Filed under: Mustela putorius furo (domestic ferret)
Lineage: Eukaryota; Metazoa; Chordata; Mammalia; Carnivora; Mustelidae
Description: lncRNA (ENSMPUG00000025822.1)
Source: RNAcentral
UUUUAUUAUCCACUAUUUAAGCAAUUCUCUUGCCCCUGACUUUGUUCCAGUUUAACCGAGUAAGCGUCACAGUUUCGCUGUUUUCAAAGUGUAAAUCUUAGUCGUCGACGUUACACGGAAGAAGGCAGCUCAGGAGAAUUUGAGUCUGUUUCUGUUUCGUUUUUUUCUAAACCUAAUUUAGUGGGAGAGACAACACUGCAGUACCUCUCAGAGGUAGACUCUCUCUUAAAACGGCGUACAGAACAUACGGCGUGUCUUUUUGGGACUCACUCUGCGACCACUCCCACCAGCGAGAAUGGGACCACCACUUUCAGCACAUCGGCCAGCGAGAAGUCCUUAUCUGACUGCAGAAAGCCUCGAUGGAUUUGCAACCGUGCAUCCACGGACUUCCGCUCCACCUUUGUGACCCCAGUAGCUAGCGCUGCUGGCGCAGUCUGUGC